RNAcentral lists this ribosomal RNA (483 nucleotides) under uncultured bacterium. RNAcentral describes it as "partial 16S ribosomal RNA". It matches the Rfam family "Bacterial small subunit ribosomal RNA", at positions 30 to 507 of the family's 1533-position model. The record is from RNAcentral.
AUUGAACGCUGGCGGCAGGCCUAACACAUGCAAGUCGAGCGGAUGAAGGGAGCUUGCUCCUGGAUUCAGCGGCGGACGGGUGAGUAAUGCAUAGGAAGCUGACUGGCAGUGGGGGAUAACGUCCGGAAACGGGCGCUAAUACCGCAUACGUCCUGAGUGAGAACGUGGGGGAUCUUCGGACCUAGCGCUAUCUGAUGAGCCUAGGUGGGUUUAGCUAGUUGGUGGGGUAAAGGCCUAACAAGGCGACGUUCCGUAACUGGUCUGAGAGGAUGACCAGACACACUGGAACUGAAAAAGGGUCCGACCCCCUAGGGGAGGCGGAGGUGGGGAAUUUUGGCAAUGGGCGAAAGCCUGAUCCAGCAAUGCCGCGUGUGUGAAGAAGGUCUUCGGAUUGUAAAGCUCUGUAAGUUGGGAGGAAGGGCAGUAAGUUAAUACCUUGCUGUUUUGACGUUACCAACAGAGUAAGCACCGGCUAACUUCGUG